Molecule: long non-coding RNA, 3700 nt
Organism: Saccostrea cuccullata (small rock oyster)
Lineage: Eukaryota; Metazoa; Mollusca; Bivalvia; Ostreida; Ostreidae
Exons: 3
Source: RefSeq, a predicted model, not a curated record
UCAAAGUCGAGAUCGAAAUAUAAUGUGUAUAUUAUAUUUAUAAAGGAUGUGUGAAAAUAUCUUUGUUGAACAACCUUGCGCUCUAUGUUUUCUACAUAAAAGUAACUUGAUUUUGAAUCUGUUUGGUGAGUACAUUUACAUAGAAUUAACCUCUUGUUGACCUACUAUAGGUAAUAAGUCACGUAAAUCUAUACCGUCACAGGUGAAUACCUCCGGAAAGCUUGUUUAUUUUAUGAGGCUACACAUGGAGCUUGUAUUUGACCAGUACAAUUAACCAAUUUCAUUUUUUAAAAUCCAAAACAAAGUUCUCACUAGACUUCGAUGAAUAUCAUUUAUGUUACACUGUGGGCCUUGAUGAUUUUCCAGGACAUUUUUCUUAAUUCUAAGGCGUGUAAUCGUAAUUUUCCUGGGCAUUGCCAUUUCGAAGAACACACGAAACAAUAUAUAUGUACUAGAAUAUGUAUAUAAAUACACAUUUAAACAUUUCCUUCCGGAAAAAAACUAACAAAAUCCACGCAAACUAUUCCAAAGAAGUUACAAUUUCAUUUAAUAUAAACAAAUACAUGUACACUAUACUAGCUUCUUGAAUAUCCAAAGAAACUUUACACUUUAUCCACGUUUUGGGCUCAUAAAUUCGGACAAAAUAUUCGAAUGUGUUAACAGAAUGCAACAGAGAAGAUAAUAAUUAAGUUCGGAUUUCAUCUCCCAAUCUUGUGAAUUUUAUCAUAAGACAGAAAGAAUCCGUGUGAAAUAUAAUGAAUAAUAUUUCUUUAUUCCAGCAACUGUAUUUGAAGUGUAUAAUUAUGUAUUUGUACACGUCAUGCAUUGAUCAAUUAUCGAUAAGCAAUGCAGAAUAUUAAAUAUGUACAACAUUUAGCGCGAAAUUCAGAAAUACACAAGUCAUACAUGUCAGGAAGGUAAUAUCAGGGGGAGGGGUGAGACUUUGUUUCGGAGAUAAAUCUUACCCCCCCCCCACCCCCUUAAGAAAAUUAAACGCCUUUACGCUGUACGAUAUGAAUAAGAUAUAUAUACACAUUGAUUUUAAUUUUUUUCAAAUCAAAAUGAGUAAAAUUUUGUCUCCUACAUAAACAAUUUUUUUUUUCAAGUUUGGAAACUGGGUUCCUCUUUUUCUUUCGCUUUAUCAAACUUUUUUCUAUGUAUUUUUUUUUCUAUUUUUUCUCAAAACAACAACUAAAAAUUCCUCGAGAACGAAAAGAAGAACCGCACCCACUACAAGUUAAAAAAAACGAAUAAUAUGCAAAAUAAAAGAUAAAAACAAGCAUUAAUAUUAUCAUAUUUAUCCUAUCUCAAGCUACAGCUCACAAUGUAUUUCUUAAUAUAGUACCUUAUUUAAAUGUCUCCGCCCAUUUUCUUGUAAUAAAAAAACAUGCUCUGUUCGAAAGAAAAUGUUCCGGAAUUUGUAUGUGCGGUAGGUGUUGGAAAAUGGAUUGUAUUUCUUGAUAUUCAAUGUUACAAAUUAUGAGUCACCAUCAUUUUGAUUAGAAAUACUAUGUUAUACAUCAUGAAAAUUAAAAUAAUGUUGUAACUUUAAGUAUAUUCUGUGAUAUAAGGGCGAACAAAGGAACCAAGCUACUAUACUUUAGUGGAAUACUCCUUUUUAGAAAACAAUGAACUGACGUUAAAUGAUUUUCUUUUCAAAAUCUUGAUUUGUGCAUUCAUAUUUUUAGUUUGUUCUCUUUGAUUCAAAAUCCAUGCAAUAAGUUCUUGAGAAAUAUUUUUAAUGAAAAUAUGAACAAACAUUCUGUGUCUUAUUUAACAAUGAGAUUUUACGUCUAUUCUUAUUUAGAAGUCCCGCAGUUCCGUCUUUAUUUCCUGAAUCUAAUAUCAAAAGAGGCAUUGAAAGAUUUUAUUUCAGUGUAUUUCUGACGAAUGAUUACAAUCUAAAUUUUUAUCAGCUUAAAACGUUUUCGUUCACUCUCUAGACCAUAUUUACCGCUCGACCUGCAAUGAGCACAACACCAGAAAGGGAAACAAAUCUUACCACAAACAUAUACCACAAACAAAAUUGGAUACUAACGUCAGUUACAGCAUUUAUAAAUCAACCAAAGACGACAAAAAUCAACAGUGAGACCGCAGUUCCUCCGCAUACUUCAUUAAAUAUAUCACUUGAGGGUAAACCAACAGUCAUAACAGACCAAUUCUCAUACGCAGCAACAACAAUGAAUCAACUGAAAAUAAAGGAAAUUAAUGGUACUACAUAACAGCUAGGCCAAAAUUUCCCUCAAAUUGAAUUUUCUGAAGCGUUGAUAUUUUGUUCUAGAAUACAAAAUCUAUCUUGAUAUAUCAUGAAAAAGAAAUUUAAUCAUAUAUUUUUGCACUCACAGUUAGAAACAUGCCCUAUCAGACCUCUGUAAGAAGGUUCUGGAAUCAGACAUUCGACUUGAGAAUGAGCUUUUUUACAAAAUCAUCAAUUACAUUUUAAUUUAUUGCACAGUUUUGUAAAGCAAUUAUCAAUUAAAAUUAAAGACAACACUUCUGAUACUUAAUUUCAGUAAAAGUAUACUCGUCUGGUAAAUUUGAGUAAAAAUAGAACAUACAUAGAGUUAUGCUUGAAAUUUCACCAUUGAAAUACGUCACAAAGAUCGAGUUAGAAGUAAGAAUUGGUAUUGCGAGUUAGAAUUGGUAUUACGUCACAAUGGUCGGAUUCGUAAUUCAGACUAUUCUGGGUUUUAAUAUUUCAAAGCGAAUGUCAUACCGGUUAAAUAAACUGCGCUAAAAAUAAUGCCGAGAGAUAACAAGGAAAGAUUUAUUAAAGAAUCUCGUCAGAAAGAAGGAUUAACGAUGGGAAGAGAGAAAAGCAAAAUACGUAAUAGCGGUAAAGUGAGUAAUAGUGAGAAAUCUCUUUUGUUUUGUUUAUUUAAUCAUUUUUCUUUAUUCAUAUAUUAAUAUUAUUAUUUAUGUUGUUUGAAUGUCCAAGCAUAUGUAUAAUUGAUACCUAUGUUGCUUACUUGAUAUUAAGUUUUUUCUUUUCUGUCAGUACUAGUAAAUGUUAGGUACUUUUCUGUGCUUUAUAGAUGUCCUUACUCGUGAGAGUCAUAUAUUAUAUAUUUCUCUCUAUUAUUAUUCAUUCCAUCAGCAUGUUCGAUUCAGUGCUUACUAGAGUUACAAUAAUCUGGGGCGUAUUGUACUUUAUAUUUCUUUUACCUGUGAUAGUCAUAAGUUUGCAAAAUAAUUUAUGUUGCUUCUUUAUUUCUUAGUUUAUUUAAAUGGCAGCUAGUAACUGUGCUUGUUUACCCUUAAAGUGUCAUUUCAAUGGUUCAUUUAAAUUAUCUUUUUCUUUUUACUAGAAACGUUUAUUUUUACAGAUGUCGACAAUCAAUACAAUUUACUUGACUUACUUGACUAGUCUUAAUCUUAAGAACAUAUACAUGUAGUUGGAACAGAUCACAAAUAUUUCGAUGGUGAUAAUGGUGUUGACGAUACUUGCCAAAUCACAAAAAAAGUUGUAUUGUCGCAAGAAAAUGAAGAGAAGAAGUCCCAGUGGCGCAGUCGGGUUGUGAAUUUGGGCAUUAUCGCAGACGGGUUGAAGAGCUAUCAACUAUGCGGUCAUCCACUCAAUAACUUGUUCAGUUGUGUGAGCGAAAGAAAGUUCUCCCUAGCACAUGUUUAAAUUGCUAAAUGUAAUUUUUCGGAAUGAGCACCUAAACGAGGUACCAACAGACGGAAAACACAAAACACG